GAUAUAUGGAUUGUGAGUAUAGAAGUGUGUUUUGAACCCUUUUGCAGGUUGGGUAGGUCCUAGGUAUAGGGGAGACUCUGCCGGAUUUUCGGCACGACUUAGGACGUAAUUGGUCUUUUCUUUGUUUGUAUUGAGUCAGAUUGUAUUAAAUAAAUGUAAUAUGAUUGUCAGGUGAGCCGGGACAGCCUUCUUCCUCCGCCCAGCCGCCACAGUAAUUUGUCGUCAAGUCUGCCACAGGAGGAUAUUUUGUUCUGGGUUAACCUGCUUUUCUCCUUCGCAGGUGUUUAUCAAUAAUUGUGUAAUUUUAUUUACUCCUAGAAUUUCCGCAUGUGUUAGCAGUAAUUAUUUGAAUUUGGUCUGUAAUAUUAUAUUCAUGUUGGACCUGUAAACUCAAUAUUUUAAGUCUGUUUUGAUGGAUUGGAUGAGGGAGCUGAGCUCCCAUUUAUUAUUAUGUUGAUGAGUAUGUGGAGGGUGAGCUGAGCUCCCCAAUAGAUUGUUUAUUGUGUUUACAGGUCGGGUGAGUCGAAAACUCCCCGUUGGAAAGUCCAUUUUAUGGCCGGACUCUGUCCGUUUGUUUU
Long non-coding RNA from Hevea brasiliensis (rubber tree), 578 nucleotides. RefSeq lists it as uncharacterized. The transcript has 2 exons. The record is from RefSeq and is a predicted model, not a curated record. NCBI's taxonomy places the organism in Eukaryota, Viridiplantae, Streptophyta, Magnoliopsida, Malpighiales, Euphorbiaceae.